Molecule: long non-coding RNA, 691 nt
Organism: Beta vulgaris subsp. vulgaris (sugar beet)
Lineage: Eukaryota; Viridiplantae; Streptophyta; Magnoliopsida; Caryophyllales; Amaranthaceae
Exons: 2
Source: RefSeq, a predicted model, not a curated record
CUCCGGCUUUUAUGUUUCAUGGCCCAGUAGACGGAUUUGAGUGGUUGAGGAUCUUCAGUGAGCGAUAUUCAGCGUCGACGACACCAACAACACUUCGAACAACGUCGACGACACCAACAACAGCAACAACACUUCGAAUAACGAAAGAAUCUUCAGCGAACGAACGAAUCUUCAGGUAACUUAUUUUUUUUCUUUUAUUUGUUUUUUUUCGCCUGUUUUAAUUUUCCGUAAUUUGUCAUUUUUUUCAGAAUUCAGAUCUUGUUUGAAGACCUCGUUUUUUCAUUUCCGUGAAUUUUUCGAAGAACUCGUUUUUUCAUCCUAAAAUCUCCAGAUGUGUUCGGAGUAUAACAACAAGAAGGAAGGUCAAGAUGUGAAGGAAGCUCCAACAUUUUUUUACUAUUAUUGAUAGAUUUGUUUUUAUGAAUUACUGUAAUAUAUAUGUUCUAAAAUUCGAAGCAUUUUCGUUUUUAUUUUUCCAGAUCUGGUCGAAUUUUUGUAUAGUAUUGUUAUUAGUUUUAUUUGAUUUUCAAUCCUCUAUCUCUACACAUUCAUUGUCCAAAUCUUGAGGCUGUUGAUUUUCAAGUUUGUAUUGUUAUUAGUUUUUUUUGUACAGUAUUCAUUUCCUUUUCAAUUACUGCAUUCGUUAUUGCUGAUUCAUGAUGGAAUUUGUGUAGAAUUUCCUGCAUUUGUU